UUCAUCCACCUGGUCGUGUUUUCUCCGUACUUCAUCUCCACUCUGCUCCUGGUGUCCUUAUAUCGACACAAAGACAAAGGAGACAAUCUGCACAACUCAGUGGUUAUGAUUUCCUCCACUGGAUGAUCUGAGUUAUUAUAUCAUCACAGCCUUAAUCAUUAUAUUCAUAGAUUUCUCUGUAAUGGGACUGAAACAUUAAAUGUGACCAAGCAGAGCAGAUCUGAGUUUCUGUUUGAACUGAUCAAAUGUCCACUUUGAGUCUCACUGGAGGAGAAACGGUCAGAUCAACGGAAAUAACAUCUAAAAAUAGGUCAGUGUCUGUAAUUAGUGACAUCAUAACCUUCUGUCCUUUUACCUGGUUUCUUCAUUAAAAUAAAGUUAUUUAAUUUGUUG
This is a long non-coding RNA of Poecilia latipinna (sailfin molly), 393 nucleotides long. RefSeq lists it as uncharacterized. NCBI's taxonomy places the organism in Eukaryota, Metazoa, Chordata, Actinopteri, Cyprinodontiformes, Poeciliidae. The record is from RefSeq and is a predicted model, not a curated record. The transcript is spliced from 2 exons.